This is a non-coding RNA of Struthio camelus australis, 1270 nucleotides long. The record is from RefSeq and is a predicted model, not a curated record. Lineage: Eukaryota; Metazoa; Chordata; Aves; Struthioniformes; Struthionidae.
UUUAAAUUAUACCUGCCAUGUCAUGCUGCACGCGAAUUCAUACGCUCCUCGGGAACACUUUUUCCACUGCUUUUGGAUACCAAGAUAUUUAUUUGAAAAGAACUUAGAUAAGAUAAAUGGAAUAUUCACCUAAUAUUUGCAUUUGAAAUAAAGAAUGGUUUCCAUGAAUACGAGUUCAUUGCAACCUGUGCAUAUACAAUAAAUGAAAUAUUAUUUACAAUAAUGCAAUAUAUGCAAAUGAACCAGUUGAUAACAAAGGAUUCGUUUUGCUCUGAGGAGCUGUAACUUUCAGUAUUGUGAAUUCCAAAUUACUACCAUAACAUUCCCCCCUUAGUGGGAUGUACCAGUAUAUGUAUGCAGGUGCAUAUAUCUUUGAUAAUGUGCAUAUACCUAUAGCUACUAAUUUUCUCUCAUGCGUACACAUUCACAUCCCAACAUUGGCAGAUUCAGCCUUGCUGCCUUUCAAAGUGCUAAAGCUUGGUGCUGUUGUAGGACAGACAGCAGAAUACUUGCUGCUUUAAUUAAUGCUAUGUCAUGCUUGACAGGAAAGGAAGUGCACUUCUGCUACUGUGCCAUUACUUUUUGGAGUCCAUUCUGUAGAUGACAAAAGUUCUUCUGUGCUUUCUGCAGAUAUAUACAAAGCAAUCUGUUGUAGUCCUAGCCUAAUUUUGAAGAAAAGUGCACCCAAACUGCUUGACAUGAUAGGUGCUACAGUCCACUGCAAGCGAAGGAGCAUGCAGAAAAUCCCUGCUCAUUGCGUUAAUGGGCUUUGCUGUCUCUGGUUUGUGCAUUGCUUCUCUAUUAUAUCCACCUCUCUAGAAAUGGCUUGAUGUGGAAGUCUUUAAACACAGAUUCAUCUGCUUUACUUUUAAAAAGUUAAGCUUGUUUUUUGUCGCAUAACACUGUUACAGACAGAAUCUGCUUCUGAAUGUGUACCUUGCAUGUUGCAAAUUACUUAUUUUUACAGUAAAAAAUAACUAGUUCUUUGGGUGCCAAAAUUAUUUGAACGUUGUUAUUCAGAAAUAGCUUUCUUAGGCAUGGGAAUUUUUUCAUUACAUUGUGGCGGGGAUAUUGCUUGAAAAUUAACUUAAUUGGAAGGUGACGUGUACACCAUGAAAAUAAAUUAGGAAUGACCCAGUAGCUUGAAAAGCGGUACAAAGAUUCCAUGACUUUCUAAAAGAAGUAAAAUAGAAUACCCCACUGAUGCAAAAUGGGCAAUUUUAUUUUGUAAUCUCCUUUAAAAAGGACAGAUCAGUGGAUGAUGCUGAAA